This is a long non-coding RNA of Rhododendron vialii, 980 nucleotides long. RefSeq lists it as uncharacterized. NCBI's taxonomy places the organism in Eukaryota, Viridiplantae, Streptophyta, Magnoliopsida, Ericales, Ericaceae. The transcript is spliced from 4 exons. The record is from RefSeq and is a predicted model, not a curated record.
UUUUUAUAAAUGCUAUGGUUGAGGUGGCAACAACAGCGUUGCUGCUAUUGUGUGGCACGGAGAAAGCCGGAAGUGAAAAAAUAGCGUUUCAUUAAUUAUAUUAUAGCGUUCCAUCCAAAUUUCAAUUUAGGGCAGGAAUCUCUCUCCACUUCGCCGCCUUAAAAACAUACACGAACUCAAAAUUUUCUCCAAAUCAUUGGCGCACAGAUCUCCCUCUCUUUUCUUGCAAAUUGGUUUCGGCUUCUACUGGAUAGAUCAAGCAUUCAGUCGCAAGUUCAAUCGUGAGUUCUCCUUUCAUGAGCAAGGGCUUCAAUGUAAGUUCUUCCAUGAUUUGUUCUUUCUCCUCUCUUGUUAUGCGAUUUAGCUAAUACUCGGUUUAAAUGUACGAAACCCUUUUUCUGCUCGAUCCCUCGUUCCUCCACAGAAAGAAGCAAAUCGCCAUGACCUAUUGCACCAGUGAAGCAAAAAGCCGUCGAACGGAGAAGCCCUAACCAGAUGGACGAUGAUGAUGAAAGGAUAACCAAUGUUAGAGGAAGAUUGUGAGGUUGCAUUAGUUUGAUUUAUGUGCCUACCAAGGUGUACUAUGGUUCAUACCAAGAUGGGAGAGAGAACAAGUUUUUCAGGAAAUAGCUGAAGUUUGGCGAGCCUCCAAGUCAAGAUUAGCCUCGAAAAUAUGACACGCUACAGUUGAAAGCUACGACUCCAGCUAGAUAAUGUCAAAUCACUCCACGAUUGGAAGGAUUUUGUGAAGGAAAAGACUAGUAAAAAGUGUAAGCCUGCCAAGCUUGUGCAGCUAACAGCUAGCAGGUUCAGGCAGCAAGUAGAUUGUGUCGGUUGGAACUGCUUUGGUGAAGUUGGGUACAGAUUGUGCAGGUAUAGGUGUGCAGGUGGGCAUGUCACAUGUUGUGAGCAUCUCCAAAGAAUCUAUUCCAGCACUUCCAGCUGGAAGACUUGGUGUGUCGCUGUUUGGUACCAAAGGA